This 241-nucleotide unclassified non-coding RNA is filed under the name plant metagenome. RNAcentral describes it as "partial contains small subunit ribosomal RNA, internal transcribed spacer 1, and 5.8S ribosomal RNA". The record is from RNAcentral.
UUUCCGUAGGUGAACCUGCGGAAGGAUCAUUAAAGUGUAAGGGUCUUCGAGCCCGAUCUCCAACCCUUUGUUUAACUACAAUGUUGCUUUGGCGGGCCCGUCACACGACCGCCGGAAGUUUGGCUUCGACCGAACUUCUGGCACGUGCUCGUCAGUGGCCCCUUCAAAUUCUUGAUCAACUAUGAUGACUUAGUUAAAAACUUAAUAGUUAAAACUUUCAACAACGGAUCUCUUGGUUCUG